UGCAUCUGCAGCCCAUGAGGAUGAGAACCUCCGGGGGCAGGGAGGUUCGACUCGAGCGAAGCGAGAGAACGUUGCGCCAGCAACGGCCCGCAGGGCGAGCCACGAAGUGGCGAGUAAUCCUCUAUCACCUACCA
Molecule: small RNA, 134 nt
Filed under: Escherichia coli
Lineage: Bacteria; Pseudomonadati; Pseudomonadota; Gammaproteobacteria; Enterobacterales; Enterobacteriaceae
Description: RtT sRNA
Rfam family: RtT RNA
About the family: This family represents a bacterial cis-regulatory element known as RtT RNA. The exact function of RtT is unknown although it is thought that it may be involved in changing the cellular response in relation to amino acid starvation.
Source: RNAcentral